GGCUAAAAGACAAAAAUAAUACAGCAAUCUAAACUGAGAAUAAAUAACUGAAAUAUGCUCUGUAAAAUAGAAUAAGGACUGAAAAGCAUUCUGUUUUAUUAGACUUUAAAUCAAGUUGUACAUAUGGAAAGAUCACUGUACCAAAAUAUCAUGAAAUAGCAUGAAGAAAGAACUAGGCAGCUGUAUGCAAUCAAAGAGUUUCACUGAGUCCUGUGCACACUGACAGAGCCAGGUAGUACAGCUGAGCAGUUCUGCUGCCAUUUCACUGCUGCCAGAGAAGUGAAGCACCUGAAACAAAAGCUCAUCGUGAAUCCAACAUCAUGUGUGCAGCGUCUCUCCACUGACAUGCUGACACAUCAAAACUGCCUGUGUUUUAUCACUGCAUGGACUCUACAAGAGAAAUAUUUGAUUUGAUCUAACAGGCAGUUGUAUGAAUCGACAGGUAAAACACAUAAAUCCUCCUGGGACACCCCUGUGCUUUGCUUUGAGCUCUUUCAAGUCACCAUUUAUUCGUGUAGUUUGAUCUAAACCUUCUCCUUUUGUGUGUUGUCUGGAAUCGCU
Molecule: long non-coding RNA, 561 nt
Filed under: Parus major (Great Tit)
Lineage: Eukaryota; Metazoa; Chordata; Aves; Passeriformes; Paridae
Description: lncRNA (ENSPMJG00000000756.1)
Source: RNAcentral